Molecule: non-coding RNA, 8599 nt
Organism: Zonotrichia albicollis (white-throated sparrow)
Lineage: Eukaryota; Metazoa; Chordata; Aves; Passeriformes; Passerellidae
Source: RefSeq, a predicted model, not a curated record
CCUGAGCUGUGUUUCAGAGAAAGGAGGAAAUACUGCUGCUAUCAUGGCUGCUGAAUUCAGUGCUGCCAGCAGCUCUGAAAGCCUUUGUAGAAAACAGCAGGUCAGUAGCAAGUGUAAGACAGAAUAUACAUUUUCAAAGCAAGUCCGCUAGUAGCAAACUGUGAACACACAGUGCAAGACAGCCAAAAAGUGUGUUACACCAUGAAUCACAGCAAAAUAAAUAAUUCUGGAAGUCAUCAGUAACAGACGACUGUGAUCAAACAGUAAGGUAGGGAAUGGCAAUUUUAAAUAACAGCAGGUGCAGUAAAUUAAACUGGAAAUGAGGGAAUCCUAAAAUAUUGUAAUUGGCUUCAGUUUCAGAUGCAGGGCUGCACUCUGAAUGUUCAGCUUGAAGACAAAAUGAAACCUAUGAAAAAUAGAUAUGAAGAGCUGCAACUUUUUGCUGGGAGAAGACAGGAAGGAUGGAAACACACUGUGCCUUAUAGGAACUUUUUUCAGCUGUGAUUAAGGCUGUUUUCAACUCAGCAAGAGGAUCAGAAUUUGAAAUGCAUCAGGAGAAAGCAUUACCUGGUGAGAAUAUCUGAGCUGCCAGAGCACAAUAUCUCUAAGGCAGAAGAAAAAUUAUUGAAAAAUAAUUCCACGCAAUCCAAGAGACUUCUACCAGAGGGGAGGCAGUGCUGGAUCCGAUGGUCAGCAACAUAAGGGAGCAAGUCAGGGACUUCAAGACUGAAUGCAGCCUGGUGGAGUUUUCAGUCCUAAAGAAUAGGAGUCAGGCAAGGAUUAGAGUUUGGCACCUGAACUUUAGGAAAGUAAACUUCUAGCUGUUUAAGGAGAUGUCAGUUGGAUCCCCUGAGAGAUUGUCUUCAGGGACAAGGGAGUGAAUUGGAGCUGGCGGAUAUUUAAGGAUGUCUUCCAUAAAAUGCAAGUCGUCAUAAUUCCCAGGACCAAGAAGUUGGGCAAGCAAGAGCAUCCUAGGGACUCCAAAGAGCAAAUGAUUACAAAAUCUGUUGGAGUGAUUCACACCAGCAACAGCAGUUGAUCCAGUGUUUCAUUAGGACCAUCUUUGCUGGUCCUCCCAGGCCUUCUGAAUGUAAUCCUGAAGCUGUGAAAUUAUUUAUCUCAAAGGACAAGCUGGACUUGCCGUGAUAAUGGAGGGAAGGUCUGUUUACCAUGCCACAAAGACACUGCUGAGCCUCUGCUAAAGUGGAAGGUUGGAGGUCUAUUGAUGAGACAAGGAGAGACCUUGCUUGGGGAACAGAUUACAGAAAAAAUAUAAUCAGGUGUCCCAGCUGCUGUUCAAGCCUCUGUUUGCAAAGGCCCCUGGAUACACAAAUGUCUCCACAACCACAAACCAAAUAAAGGACGUGAUUGCAGAUGUAGUUGCCAUCUGGAGUCAAACAGAAAAGCCAUAGCAGUUGGCUGCUGGAUGUGUAGCCAAAAGAAGAGGAAUUUGUAAAUAAUUGUGUCUGAAAUCUGUUAACUGGAGAGAAUAAAUGGAUAAUGAAGAAUACAGGAAGGUAAGUGAUUGUGAAUUGAAGCUUGUAAAUGUAUAGGAAGUGUCAAGUGUCAACAUAACAUAGCACUGAAGGAGAAGCUGUAUGAGCAAAGCUCAUUUGAGAAGCUUUGUACCUUUUGCCGCUCACAGGAGUAAGAAUAAUUUUGUGUAGAGUACAAAAAAUGCUCGAGAGCUCUCCACUUAAGCUGCACAGUUCAGUCCCGCCUGGAUUCUGUUUGACACAGUUCAAUCAUGGAGACCUAAUUCUUGGUGUUUUUAAGUUGUGAAGAACAUUGCAGAUCUGCUGAGGAACAGCUGCUUAAAAAAAUGAAAAAUAUAAAUAACCCAGGUCUAGAAAAGUAUUGUGUUCUAUUCUUAAUAUAUUUGGGUGAUCAUCAGAUAAAAGGAUUUUUAUUCAGAAAAGUUAGAAAUUUUACUACUUCUAGCUACUUAAAAAUGGAGAGAAAACAACUAACAGAACAACCUACUCUUAUGUAGCAUCAUGCAAGUAAGUUAGACUUGGGCAAAAAAUAAUUGCUACAAGAGAUGUGAAUAAGCAUUGUCAGUUUGAGUCCUGUCCUGAGCUGCCUUAGUUGACUCAUAAAGCACAAAUGUAACUGUGGAAUUGAUAAUUUGCUGCACAUUAACACAAUAACUGGUCAUGAAAAUUCCUUUUGUUAAUUAUUUUUAUAUCACUUGGUGUAGCUGUGUCUGUAUAUUACUAUGCCUUGUGCUUUAGGAUAUCCUGGAUGUACCAAAGAAAUGCUGACAAAUCAGAUCAUUCAACUGUAAAGUUCUCCUUGUGAUCCCUGCUUCUCUGUUAUGGCUCACAUUAUUACAGUACCUCUAAUUCAAGAUCUCACAUUUUUAUAGAGGGCAGUAAGAACUCUUGCUUAAAUUACAUAACCCAAGGAAAGCAGGGAAGGAAAAUUAGCAUGGGAUAAAGUAGGAUCUAAGGCACACAACCACAACUGCUAAUUAUUUCUGUAUAAAUAGCAGGUAGGCACUGGCUGAGGUAGAUCUCACAAGGUAACUGUGAGGACAGCUACUUAAUUGCUGCUAAAUGCAUCAAAAAUUUUAAAGUAAAGACAUAUUUGCAAAAGCCCAACAGAUUUUUCUUUUUUCCUUUCCCUGCUCCAAGCCCUUUCAGGUAAAAGGAGAAACGAGAAUAACAUCCAAGUGAAAUAGUCCCAUCAUAUCUGUAAUACAAAGAGAGGAUUUUUAUAGUUUUCCAUUUUAAAGCAUUGUUAUGGAUUAGAGUACCAGCAGAUCUUUUGUUUGCUGUGUUUUGUGCCAAAAGCUUAUACAGUCAGUACCAAAUAACUAAUAGAAUGUCAUUUCAGUGUGUGCUAUUAAAUGUGAAUAAGUGUGCAUUGAGGACAGUUCAAAAAUAAAUUUCAUCAAUGUUAAGAGCUUAUAAAAUAUAGAAAUAAAAAAACAGUAGAAAAAGGAACAUAUUCCUGGGAUAAGAGGGCUUGUAAGGAGACAAUGCUGGAAAUGCAGAAUUUUCCUCUUUUCCUUUCAUUGAUCUCACAAAAGCAUUGUAUGCAGUAAGUUGCUGUGCUCUUUGCAGCCUCACAGAAAAUCCUUGUCUGUUUAAAUCGUUUGAGGUGGACUUCUGAACUGCUUCAUGUGAGUACCAAAUGAAGCUCAAUAGACUUUUUGAUAUUUUCCAUAGGAUGACUCAAAGAAUCCAUCUUGUAACUAGUCUUGUUCAUGCUGUUCAGUACAGUGAGGUACAUGAUUCCUGUGACCUUCAAAUGAGCAUUUAUAUUUUUGAAAUUUACAAGUGUCACUUGUUCUCUCCAAAUUGUCUAAAAAAGCUAAAUGGACAAGUUAAGAAUUCUUGAUUAUAGCCACGCAUAGGUUUUCCACUCCAAUUUCUAAUUUACAAGUGCUGGAACAGAAAUUUAUUCUUCUCCAGACAGCUUUUAAUUUGGCUGUCAGAUGAAAAAUUAGGGCUGCUAGAGGGAACAACAAAAAAGAGUGUCUGCUGACCCUCUAAACUGAACUCCUUGUCUGAAAGCUGCUUGUUUUUUGGUAUUUGCUGAGUAAAAAUGAAUGCCUACUAAGAGAUGGACCCAGAAAAAACAAGGUAUUCCUGACAGGCACUUUCAAGAAAACAGCAGUCUGGCAUCAGGCUCUCCAGCAGGCGCAUUAAUGUUUUGAACUUCAUUUCUCCUGCAGGAUAACUCUUUGGGAGCUGGACAGAAGAUAAAUCUGUGCACUGGAGUUCUGCUAUGGAAGCUACAGCUUUCCCCUCUCUGGAGGACACUGUGCAAUGAAAUGAUCAGUGGCAACAUUCACACUUUGUGUUCACCAAGGUGUUACUGAAGUCCAGCUGUGAGAGACCAGAGAAAUUGUCCAUUUGAACUCAGGAGUGCUCAGCUCCUGUGCAGUGAGGUCAAAUGAGUCAAUAGGAAGCAGGGUUACUGCCAGAGGGCUUCAGGAGCUGUAAAUGGUGCUCCUGACUAUUUCCAACACAGCACGAGGCUCUUCAAGAUCCCAACCAUGUGUAAUGGUGCAAGCAGCCUGGCUUUUUGAGGGAUCACAGGGGUCUGUCCAAACUCUUUGGCUGGAAAAUCACUCAAGUCAAAGGAUUCACCCAGCAGCAGGAAUGCCUUGGCCCACAGACUGAAUGGCAGCAUAGGUUAUUUAAUGCCUGUGUAGUCACCAAACCUUGACUCACCAUUGCCUCAAAAUGCUUUCAUCCUUAGCUUUAAGAAUUUUCCUCUAAUGACAUCAAAAAUUAUAUUAACUAUUAUAUUGACCCUAAUUUUAAACUUGUAUCAAAUUGUAAGUAAUAAGCUUUGGACUGCUUGAGUCAGAGGUGAACAUGUUAAAACCACAUUUACUAAUAAUCUAACUAGGAUUAAAAUUUUAUUCUUCCUCGUGAAAUCUCCGCAGAAAGUUCAGGGCUGGGAGGGAAACGUGAAAAUUAGAUGUGAAAUUACACAAGGUUCUCUGGUAGGUGUGCGUGCAUGGCUUUUUGUGAGAGUUUAGUGAUAUAAAUUAUCUUUUUUUUUCCUUUCAGGACAACACUGCACAUGCUUAUUUUAAUAUGGUAAUUGGCAAUGUAAAUAAUAGACUUAAACUGACAGUGAAUGUAAAUGUGUGCUAAGAUCAAACUAUGGAAAACAAGUUUGUUUUUAUGUGGGUAGUUGUCUGCAGCAGAGGGAUGGUAUGAGGUGAUGCAAUAGCAUCAGCGUUUUGAAGUGUUAGAGCCAAAUCUGCCAAAAUUACUUCUGUCUGAGACCUAGGUCCUGUAAUUAUUACUGUCUGUAGGUCCUGAGACAGUACUUUUAUACCUUAGACUAUUUUUCCCUGAGUUUACAACUAAAAGCAAUGUAAGAUUUGCAGAGCUCUCUGUAUCUAAUAGAAUGAGACUAAAAUUCUCCAAUUAUGUGUUUAUUAAUAUGUUGUAUUAUGAACAUGAAAGAUGCCCACCCUUGUUCAAAAAAGAAAAAGUUAGACUUUCUGCCUCCAAGUGCUUACGGUCUUUGGACCUUUUCCCUCCUGAAGCAGAGUUCUGCAGUUGCCUGUAAAAGGUGCAGGACUCAAUUCUAAAUAAUCCUAAGAAAGAUUAAGGCUCUAUUAAAUAAAUGUACUUUUGCUAAGGAGCUGAAGAAAAAGCCACCAGUCUAACUUAUUCCAUAUAACCAAGAGGGUGAUUAAAUGUUCCAAAUAUGCAGAAGUCAAAUGUCCCAUUUCUGCUUUAAAUCUUUUCCUUUUAUAGGCUGUGGGUUAUACUCCCUGCUUUGAAAACCUGUGCUGUUUAGGAACAAGAAUUUAUUUACAGUUUUAAAAACUUGCAACUAAUCUUGGAUGAAUAGUCUGAAUUAACCUUUGGCAGAGAAGUUGUAAUUUCUAAGCCAACACAUAACUGUAUUUUGCAUUAGUUUAGGAAUAUUGGGUACUUUGAGGGGUUAAGAAUAAAAUAUUUUCCAUGAUUCAUAUCUCUUUUAGCUUAAAAAGUCAACAACUCGAUUCCAGUGCAGCCAAAAGGGGUUUUCAGUCCAAAAUGUCUCAUUGCUUGCAAUUAAUUUGGGCUCUUGCAAUUAGGGUUUUGUAUCCCAAUGCAUUAAUGCAUGAAAGCAGCUGCACAAUGAGUAGUGCCACAUGUUUGAACUAAAAAUAAUCUGUGUACAUUGUUGCUGUGCAAACAGUUGUACGUUUUGGUCACUGAAGAUAAUCUCUGUGUUAGAACAGCAGAGUUGCAAAUUGUACAGCUGAGAGGGACAAUUGUGUGUGCCUGCUUGUGCCACUUACCCACGCCCUCUCCCUUUCUGGCUUAGCAAGUGUGCUGAAUCCUGUUUAAAUCCAUCCUCAAGUGCAUAAAAACUUUGAGUGAGAAAUAUACUUAGGCAAUUGGAAACAACUAUAUUUUCCAUGAAAUAAGGAUUUUGAGCUUAGACUACUGACACGGUGCUUUAGGGAGGGGGGAAAAAAGGCUGUGCUAGUUUAGAAUGAAUUCUGUCUUGCAGGUGUAUCCAUGGGAGAGGGUAAAAAACCCCCUCAGCUGAAAAUGGCACGCUUUCCAACUUUCUGAGCUCAAUCCUUCUUCCACCGUGCUGGUUUUGGCUGGGGUAGAGUUAAAUUUCUUCACAGUGUCUAGUGCAGGGCUGUGUUUUGGAUUUGUGCUGGACACAGAGUUGAUAAUACAGAGAUGUUUUUUGGUACUGCUGAGCAGGGCUUACUCAGAGCCAACGCCUUUCCUGAUUUUUGUACUGCCAUGAUGGCGAGGACAUUGGGGAACCAUCAGAGGUUCAGAGGGGACACAGCCAGGACAGGUGACCCAACACACCAAAGGGGUUCUAGACCGUAUAGCAUCAUGAUCAGUAUGUAAAGUGAAGGGAAGAAGGAGAAAUAGGAGGACAUUGGAGUGAUGGCAUUUGUCUUCCCAAGUCACUACUACUUGGUGUGAUGGGGCCUGCUCUCUUGGAGAUGCCGAACACCUGCCUGCCCAUGGGAAGCAGUGAAUUGAUUCCUUGUUUUGCUUUGUUUGUGUGGGCUGCUUUUGCUUUCCCUGUGAAACUCUGUAUCUUAACCCACUAGUUCUCUGGCUUUUACCCUUUCAAUUCCCUCUCCAGUCCCACUGGUUGGGGGGUGAGUGAGUGGCUGGAUGGUGCCUGAUUGCUGACUGGGAUAAACCACAACAUCCAUUUACAGGUCAGUGUUUUGUGGCACCAUUGAAGAGUCCUUGCCUUUCAAGAAACUCCAGAAAAUUUAUUCUGAUCCUCAUCCUCUUAACAUUCAUGAGUGGCUUGCCAGUGGACGACUUCUUUAUACAAACUUAGAGUAACCUUUGUGUCUCAAAAGCACUUGCUUCUACUUCCAGCCUUGCACCUUAAUCUCCGCUCCCCAUUCCAAUGUAAAUUAUACAGAGGAAUAAAUUGUGUCUAACUUUUUUUUUCUUUUGUUGCAGUUCUUCAGCCUACAUCUUACACUAUGUACACUGGUGGGUGUCCAGUGCAACACUGCACUAGACCGGAGCCCUGGGUCAUCACAGGUGCUGGGAACUGCUGACAAAGGGCACCAUAAUGCAGGAGACUGUUCCAUUAGAAGAUAACAGGACUGCCAGCUAUCACUGCUUUGUUGGGAAUAACAUCUUAGGCAUGUUGUCUGUCUUCGUUUUCCAAGCCUCGGUACAGUGCAAUGUGCUUGGCUGCCAACAGCCAUUCCUGACAGACUUUGGCUGCUGCCUUUCAGCAUGGACCCCUACCUCCAGUCAACUAGCUUGGAUUAUAAAUUUCCAGUGGAAAUGAUGGAAGUCCAUUCCUGCCAGUAGCAUUAACUGAAUGCUGACAGUGAAGAGAGGGGCUGGGAUCCUGCAGCUGAGCACAAAAGAAAUGCAGCACAGAAACUGAGAAGUGUUUAGUUUCUCAUUCAGAAGGAGUCAAGAGAGGAAGUUUUUCAGUCCAGAGUGUUAGCUUUGAUUUGUGGAUAAAGAAACUGAUUGCUAUUGCAUCUGUUCCUUAGAGAGUGGGAAACAAAAAGGGAUAUAUUCCCUCUAAUUAGGAUUGCAGCUAAACCUGGUUAUUAACUACUUCUAAAGGUAAAAACUUGAGUAUUUGGGCUAGAAAGAAUGAUGGGAUUAGAGCAUGUCUUUCUCUUAUUUCAGACAUGGUCUCUGCUUUUAACUCUGUGUUCAUUUGUACCUUUAAUUUUUUCCCUCCUUUUUUUCCCUUUUGAGUGUGAGACAAGAGUAAUGUGUGCCCGUGGAAGGACUUGCAUUGUACAAGGGUUUCCACUCCAUGUUGGCAGACAAGUAGAUGCAGUUCUGGCAUCUCAUUUGUGCUCAUUUGGGUUUGUUUACUGACAGCAAACAAACAAAAAAUAAACAAAAAGCUGUGAGAUAGCAAAUUUUUUACUUGUACUUUUGCCAAGUACUUGUGUACUAUUUCUGUGCCAGAUUUUCAGUAACGAUGGCAUUAAACUAUACUCUCUUCUCCCUUUGGUCAUAACAAGUAAGCUCAUUUAUUUUUACUUAAAUUGGCUAUUUUAGAAAUGCUCUUAUGAGUUAAACCAGCUUCUCUUUUCUAGAAUAAUAUCAUGGUUGUGUGAUUAAAUCAAAAGAUCAUAUUACAAAAGAGAUCUUGUAAUGUAGAAUGAGGUAUUAAUUUCAUAAUGUAUUAAAGAUUUCUGUGUUUUUCCCUCUCUUUACCAUUGUAGUUUGUUUGGACAAAUUUCAAGGUUCUGAACUCUGGAUUUUUACUUUUUUUUUGAGAGGCUUAAAGAUCCUAUACAUCCAGCAUUCCUUUACCUGAGUAUUGUUCUCAAAGUUAAAUGUAUAAACCAUGAAAAAAGGAACUAAAAUAUUUGUAAACACGGGGAAAAAAAUAAAAGGAGUCUUCAAGAAUACCCAGAUUGCAGGUUGUGUGCCUUCCAAAAAAAAAAAAAAAGUGGUAGAUUAUUAACACAUGAGAAUUUUUCAAUUUCUGUUGAAUUGGGGAGAAGAUUUGAUAACCAGCCCUAGUCUUGAGAGCCUACCUUUAAGACCAUGUACACUACAGGGAGUACUCAGGAGGGUUUCAUGAUCAAAAUGGAAUCCAAAUAUUUACAAAUGUCUGCUUCAAAACACCUAAAGGUGGCCAGCUUAUAAAC